GAUGAACGCUGGCGGCGUGCCUAAUACAUGCAAGUCGAGCGAACAGACGAGGAGCUUGCUCCUCUGACGUUAGCGGCGGACGGGUGAGUAACACGUGGAUAACCUACCUAUAAUACUGGGAUAACUUCGGGAAACCGGAGCUAAUACCGGAUAAUAUAUUGAACCGCAUGGUUCAAUAGUGAAAGACGGUUUUGCUGUCUCUUAUAGAUGGAUCCGCGCCGCAUUAGCUAGUUGGUAAGGUAACGGCUUACCAAGGCAACGAUGCGUAGCCGACCUGAGAGGUGGAUCGGCCACAUUGGAACUGGGACCCGUUCCAGCUCCCUAGGGGAGGCGGCAGUAGGGAAUCUUGCGCAAUGGGGGAAAGCCUGACGGAGCAACGCCGGGGGAGUGAUGAAGGUUUUCGGAUCGUAAAACUCUGUUAUGAGAGAAGAACAAAUGUGUAAGUAACUAUGCACGUCUUGACGGUACCUAAGCAGAAAGCCACGGCUAACUACGU
Molecule: ribosomal RNA, 496 nt
Filed under: uncultured bacterium
Lineage: Bacteria
Description: partial 16S ribosomal RNA
Rfam family: Bacterial small subunit ribosomal RNA
Source: RNAcentral